CAUAAUGUAAAUCUUUGUCCAAUAUUUGACCGUCCGUCUUAUUUGAAAUAUUUAUAAAAACUUUUUUAAAGAAUAGUCACACAUAAAAUACUAUUCAUAUUUUAUCAUUUAAUAAUAAUAAAAAUAGUAAUCAUAAAAAUUUUUCACAUAAGAUGAACGGUCAAACGUUGAAGAUGAAUAGUGCAAAAUUGCACUUAUU
RNAcentral lists this microRNA precursor (199 nucleotides) under Oryza nivara. RNAcentral's name for it is "MIR812 microRNA precursor family". It matches the Rfam family "MIR812 microRNA precursor family", at positions 25 to 205 of the family's 205-position model. Lineage: Eukaryota; Viridiplantae; Streptophyta; Magnoliopsida; Poales; Poaceae. The record is from Rfam by way of RNAcentral.